Molecule: ribosomal RNA, 407 nt
Filed under: uncultured bacterium
Lineage: Bacteria
Description: bacterial SSU rRNA
Rfam family: Bacterial small subunit ribosomal RNA
Source: RNAcentral
GGCGGACGGGUGAGGUAACACGUGAGCAAUCUGCCCGUUAAGAGGGGGAUAGCAGUUGGAAACGACUGAUAAUACCGCAUAAGAUAGUAGUACCGCAUGGUACAGCUAUAAAAGAUUUAUCGCUUAAGGAUGGAGCUCGCGUCUGAUUAGCUAGUUGGUGAGGUAACGGCUCACCAAGGCAACGAUCAGUAGCCGGACUGAGAGGUUGGACGGCCACAUUGGGACUGAGACACGGCCCAGACUCCUACGGGAGGCAGCAGUGGGGAAUAUUGCACAAUGGAGGAAACUCUGAAUGCAGCGAUGCCGCGUGAGGGAAGAAGGUUUUAGGAUUGUAAACCUCUGUUGACAGGGACGAUAAUGACGGUACCUGUUGAGGAAGCUCCGGCUAACUACGUGCCAGCCGCGGC